RNAcentral lists this ribosomal RNA (430 nucleotides) under uncultured bacterium. RNAcentral describes it as "partial 16S ribosomal RNA". It matches the Rfam family "Bacterial small subunit ribosomal RNA", at positions 29 to 507 of the family's 1533-position model. The record is from RNAcentral.
AACGAACGCUGGCGGCAGGCCUAACACAUGCAAGUCGAGCGCGCCUUCGGGUGAGCGGCGGACGGGUGAGUAACGCGUGGGAAUAUGCCCUUCUCUACGGAAUAGUCCUGGGAAACUGGGGGUAAUACCGUAUACGCCCUUUGGGGGAAAGAUUAUCGGGGAAGGAUUUGCCCGCGUUGGAUUAGGUUGUUGGUGGGGUAAUGGCCUACCAAGCCGACGAUCCAUAGCUGGUUUGAGAGGAUGAUCAGCCACACUGGGACUGAGACACGGACCAGACUCCUACGGGAGGCAGCAGUGGGGAAUCUUAGACAAUGGGGGCAACCCUGAUCUAGCCAUGCCGCGUGAGUGAUGAAGGCCUUAGGGUUGUAAAGCUCUUUCAGCUGGGAAGAUAAUGACGGUACCAGCAGAAGAAGCCCCGGCUAACUCCGUG